This 2026-nucleotide ribosomal RNA is filed under the name human oral metagenome. RNAcentral's name for it is "bacterial LSU rRNA". It matches the Rfam family "Bacterial large subunit ribosomal RNA", at positions 1103 to 2925 of the family's 2925-position model. The record is from RNAcentral.
GGCUUAGAAGCAGCCAUCCUUGAAAGAGUGCGUAAUAGCUCACUGGUCAAGUGAUCGUGCGCCGACAAUGUAGCGGGGCUCAAGCACACCGCCGAAGCCGCGGACCCACAACAGUGUUCCCUUCACUGUCCGGCCUCGUCCGGGUGGUGGCAGGGGUUGUGGGUGGUAGGGGAGCGUCCUGCACCGGGGGAAGCCUGUGGGUGACUGCUGGUGGACGGUGCGGGAGUGAGAAUGCAGGCAUGAGUAGCGAUACUAGGGUGAGAAGCCCUAGCGCCGAAUGACCAAGGGUUCCAGGGCCAGGCUAGUCCGCCCUGGGUGAGUCGGGACCUAAGGCGAGGCCGACAGGCGUAGUCGAUGGAUGACGGGUUGAUAUUCCCGUACCGGCGAAGCACCGCCCAUGCUGACGCGCGGGUGCUAACCCACGCCCAGCCACCAAGUUCAGCCGCGCCUACUCCUUUCGGGGGGUGGUGUGGUUGUGGUGGUGGGGUCUGGGGAUCCUCCGUGCAGGUAGGCAAGCGUGUUAACAGGGGUGACGCACAGUGGUAGCCCGGCGGACCUGAUGGCUUGGUCCGUUCAAGCGCGCAGCCCGUCCUCCAGGUAAAUCCGGAGUGACUGUCUUUGAUGACGGGGGUGAGGCGUGAUGGUGACCCCACGCUGGUGGGGGAUAACAGGGUGAUCCUGGGGUGCCGAGAAAAGCCUCGACGCGAUGGUGCCAGCCGCCCGUACCCUAAACCGACACAGGUGGUCGGGCAGAGUAUGCCUAGGCGCACGAGUGAAUCAUGGUUAAGGAACUCGGCAAAAUGCCCCCGUAACUUCGGGAGAAGGGGGGCCUGAUCCCUGAAGCCCCAUCGCGGGCUAGGGGGGAGGGUCGCAGAGGCCAGGGGGAAGCGACUGUUUACUAAAAACACAGGUCCGUGCGAAGCCGUAAGGCGAUGUAUACGGACUGACGCCUGCCCGGUGCUGGAAGGUUAAGAGGAACCAUCAACCCCCUCGGGGGUGAAGUGGUGAAUUUAAGCCCCAGUAAACGGCGGUGGUAACUAUAACCAUCCUAAGGUAGCGAAAUUCCUUGUCGGGUAAGUUCCGACCUGCACGAAUGGCGUAACGACUUCCCCGCUGUCUCAACCAUGAGCUCGGCGAAAUUGCAGUACGAGUAAAGAUGCUCGUUUCGCGCAGAAGGACGGAAAGACCCCGGGACCUUUACUAUAGCUUGGUAUUGGCGCCCGCUAUAGCUUGUGCAGGAUAGGUGGGAGACUGUGAAGCCGUUACGCCAGUGGCGGUGGAGUCGUCCUUGAAAUACCACUCUGGUUAUGGCGUGCGCCUGAACCUGGGCCCGUGAUCCGGGUUAGGGACAGUGCCUGGUGGGUAGUUUAACUGGGGCGGUUGCCUCCUAAAGUGUAACGGAGGCGCUCAAAGGUUCCCUCAGCCUGGUCGGCAACCAGGUGUUGAGUGCAAGUGCACAAGGGAGCUUGACUGUGAGACCGACGGGUCGAGCAGGUACGAAAGUAGGAACUAGUGAUCCGGCGAUCCCGUGUGGGUGGGUCGUCGCUCAACGGAUAAAAGGUACCCCGGGGAUAACAGGCUGAUCCUGCCCAAGAGUCCAUAUCGACGGCAUGGUUUGGCACCUCGAUGUCGGCUCGUCGCAUCCUGGGGCUGGAGCAGGUCCCAAGGGUUGGGCUGUUCGCCCAUUAAAGCGGUACGCGAGCUGGGUUUAGAACGUCGUGAGACAGUUCGGUCCCUAUCCUCUGCGCGCGUUGGAAACUUGAGAAGGGCUGUCCCUAGUACGAGAGGACCGGGACGGACGAACCUCUGGUGUGCCAGUUAUCCUGCCAGGGGUAUGGCUGGUUUGCUACGUUCGGGAUGGGUAACCGCUGAAAGCAUCUAAGCGGGAAACUAGCUUCGAGAUUAGGUUUCCGUCCCAUUUUGUUUGGGGGGAGGUUCCCGGUAGAUUACCGGGUUGAUAGGCUAGGAGUGUAGACAUUGUAAGGUGACCAGCUUACUAGUACUAAUUGACCGAUAACUAACAAUA